Molecule: ribosomal RNA, 489 nt
Filed under: uncultured bacterium
Lineage: Bacteria
Description: bacterial SSU rRNA
Rfam family: Bacterial small subunit ribosomal RNA
Source: RNAcentral
AUUGAACGCUGGCGGCAGGCCUAACACAUGCAAGUCGAGCGGUAGAGAGAAGCUUGCUUCUCUUGAGAGCGGCGGACGGGUGAGUAAUGCCUAGGAAUCUGCCUGGUAGUGGGGGAUAACGUUCGGAAACGAACGCUAAUACCGCAUACGUCCUACGGGAGAAAGCAGGGGACCUUCGGGCCUUGCGCUAUCAGAUGAGCCUAGGUCGGAUUAGCUAGUUGGUGAGGUAAUGGCUCACCAAGGCGACGAUCCGUAACUGGUCUGAGAGGAUGAUCAGUCACACUGGAACUGAGACACGGUCCAGACUCCUACGGGAGGCAGCAGUGGGGAAUAUUGGACAAUGGGCGAAAGCCUGAUCCAGCCAUGCCGCGUGUGUGAAGAAGGUCUUCGGAUUGUAAAGCACUUUAAGUUAGGGAGGAAGGGCAGUUACCUAAUACGUUGCUACUUUGACGUUACCGACAGAAUAAGCACCGGCUAACUUCGUGCCAG